Molecule: ribosomal RNA, 492 nt
Filed under: uncultured bacterium
Lineage: Bacteria
Description: partial 16S ribosomal RNA
Rfam family: Bacterial small subunit ribosomal RNA
Source: RNAcentral
AUUGAACGCUGGCGGCAUGCUUUACACAUGCAAGUCGAACGGUAACAGGCCUUCGGGUGCUGACGAGUGGCGAACGGGUGAGUAAUGCAUCGGAACGUACCCAGAGGUGGGGGAUAACGCAGCGAAAGCUGUGCUAAUACCGCAUGUGAUCUGAGGAUGAAAGCGGGGGACCGAGCAGCAAUGUUUGGCCUCGCGCCUUUGGAGCGGCCGAUGUCGGAUUAGCUAGUCGGUGGGGUAAAGGCCUACCAAGGCGACGAUCCGUAGCUGGUCUGAGAGGACGACCAGCCACACUGGGACUGAGACACGGCCCAGACUCCUACGGGAGGCAGCAGUGGGGAAUUUUGGACAAUGGGCGCAAGCCUGAUCCAGCAAUGCCGCGUGCGGGAAGAAGGCCUUCGGGUUGUAAACCGCUUUUGGCAGGAACGAAACGGUGUCCGCUAAUACCGGGCGCUAAUGACGGUACCUGCAGAAUAAGCACCGGCUAACUACGUG